Non-coding RNA from Trichobilharzia regenti, 31 nucleotides. The record is from Rfam. Lineage: Eukaryota; Metazoa; Platyhelminthes; Trematoda; Strigeidida; Schistosomatidae.
GACGAGUCCCAAAUAGGACGAAAUGCGCAUC